AGAGUUCGUUCCUGGCUCAGAAUAAACGCUGGCGGCGUGUCUUAAGCAUGCAAGUCGGACGGCAAGCCGCCUUCGGGCGGCCUAGAGUGGCGGACUGGUGAGUAACACGUGGGUGAUAUACCUUUUGGACGGGGAUAGCCCCUAGAAAUAGGGGGGUAAUACCGGAUAAGGCCGUGCGGGUUGGAGCCGCACGGGGAAAGGCGCUAUGGCGCCGCCGAAAGAAUAGCCUGCGACCUAUCAGCUUGUUGGUGAGGUAAAGGCCCACCAAGGCGAUGACAGGUAUCCGGCCUGAGAGGGUGAACGGACACAUUGGGACUGAGAUACGGCCCAGACUCCUACGGGAGGCAGCAGCUAAGAAUAUUCCGCAAUGGAGGAAACUCUGACGGAGCAACGCCGCGUGGACGAUGAAGGCCGGAAGGUUGUAAAGUCCUUUUAUAAUUGAGGAAUAAGCGGGACAGGGAAUGGUUCCGCGGUGACUGUAGAUUAUGAAUAAGCACCGGCUAAUUACGUGCCAGCAGCCGCGGUAACACGUAAGGUGCGAGCGUUAUUCGGAAUUAUUGGGCGUAAAGGGCACGCAGGCGGCUUUGCAAGCUUGGUGUGAAAUCUCAGGGCUCAACCCUGAAACUGCAUUGAGAACUGCAUGGCUAGAGUUAGUGAGGGGAAACCGGAAUUCCAGGUGUAGGGGUGAAAUCUGUAGAUAUCUGGAAGAACACCAAUGGCGAAGGCAGGUUUCCAGCACAUAACUGACGCUCAGGUGCGAAGGUGCGGGGAUCAAACAGGAUUAGAUACCCUGGUAGUCCGCACAGUAAACG
Molecule: ribosomal RNA, 812 nt
Filed under: uncultured bacterium
Lineage: Bacteria
Description: bacterial SSU rRNA
Rfam family: Bacterial small subunit ribosomal RNA
Source: RNAcentral